RNAcentral lists this ribosomal RNA (520 nucleotides) under Pseudomonas aeruginosa. RNAcentral's name for it is "bacterial SSU rRNA". It matches the Rfam family "Bacterial small subunit ribosomal RNA", at positions 138 to 653 of the family's 1533-position model. Lineage: Bacteria; Pseudomonadati; Pseudomonadota; Gammaproteobacteria; Pseudomonadales; Pseudomonadaceae. The record is from RNAcentral.
GGGGGAUAACGUCCGGAAACGGGCGCUAAUACCGCAUACGUCCUGAGGGAGAAAGUGGGGGAUCUUCGGACCUCACGCUAUCAGAUGAGCCUAGGUCGGAUUAGCUAGUUGGUGGGGUAAAGGCCUACCAAGGCGACGAUCCGUAACUGGUCUGAGAGGAUGAUCAGUCACACUGGAACUGAGACACGGUCCAGACUCCUACGGGAGGCAGCAGUGGGGAAUAUUGGACAAUGGGCGAAAGCCUGAUCCAGCCAUGCCGCGUGUGUGAAGAAGGUCUUCGGAUUGUAAAGCACUUUAAGUUGGGAGGAAGGGCAGUAAGUUAAUACCUUGCUGUUUUGACGUUACCAACAGAAUAAGCACCGGCUAACUUCGUGCCAGCAGCCGCGGUAAUACGAAGGGUGCAAGCGUUAAUCGGAAUUACUGGGCGUAAAGCGCGCGUAGGUGGUUCAGCAAGUUGGAUGUGAAAUCCCCGGGCUCAACCUGGGAACUGCAUCCAAAACUACUGAGCUAGAGUACGGUA